AUUGGACGAGUUUUUCCUCAAUUGCUUUAUUCGUAUACUUUGCUUCACAUAUACAUUUAACACAAGUACAGGGAACUCUUGCAUCUAGCGCAUUCAAUUCAUCCCAUAUUGCUUUCAGGUUAUUAAAGUAUGUUGCUAUGUCAUUGGAACCUUGUAUAGUUUCUACUAGCUUCUUUUGCAGGCCAAAUAAUUGAGCAGCAUUAGACUGUUCAUACAUAUCCUCAAGUUGCUUCCAAAGAUCCCUUGCAGAAUUAGAAUGUAAAACAUUAGAUCUGAUGCAUUUUGUCAAUGAAUUCAACAACCAAGUCAUCAUCAUAUUAUUGCAUCGUAUCCAAAGCUCGAAGUUUUUAGGUUUUGGAAUCCUUAAAUAAAUUAUCCCUAGUUUAUUCUUAGCUGAUAAGAAUAUUAACGUGGAUUUUCUUCAGUAUGCAUAUCCAAUCCCAUCAAACGGUGUGAAUACCAGAUUUAUCCCAAGAUUAUUUGAGGGACUCGAGUAUAGAGGAUGAGAACUCUCGACAAUAAUUUGGCUUUCUUCAAAAGGAUUUUAGUCAUCCAUUACUACAGAUUCAACUAAGUUGUAUGAAAGCAUGUGAUGUCUCUACGUGUCAAGCAUGGCAUGUAGCAAAACAUAAUUGCAGCUUGGUUAUCUCAAUGACAAACUUAUGUAAUUGUAUCGCCACCCUUUCCAUUAUAGAACCCUUGGACGAGCUGUGUGUCUGAGCUGGCGUCGAUGCAUUGUCAACAAAAACCUUAAGAUAUCCAUGAUAUUGAGUCCAAUGAAAGU
This 784-nucleotide long non-coding RNA is filed under the name Nicotiana benthamiana. Its description in RNAcentral is "long non-coding RNA (NBEN_LNC007315)". The record is from RNAcentral. Lineage: Eukaryota; Viridiplantae; Streptophyta; Magnoliopsida; Solanales; Solanaceae.